RNAcentral lists this long non-coding RNA (283 nucleotides) under Mytilus galloprovincialis (Mediterranean mussel). Lineage: Eukaryota; Metazoa; Mollusca; Bivalvia; Mytilida; Mytilidae. The record is from RNAcentral.
GUCCCUAGUUUUUAUGCAGUGCUUAGUGAAUAAGUUCGUCUCUUUGUGGUGUUGCCGUAUAAGCGAGAGGUUUCUGUUGUUCUGUUGUUGUCCACCUAUAGUGUAUGUGUUUCCUUCGAUUUUAGUUUGUUACCCGGAUUUGUUUUUCUUUAUCGAAUAAUGACUAUUGAUCAGCGGAAUACUACUGUUGCCUUUAUUUGCCACAGAGUGUCAGUUGUUUUUGUGGCAUAUGAGUUUUGAAUAUCCCAUCGAUAUCUUCCGCUUUCAUUCUUAGCAUUGAUAU